This 253-nucleotide ribosomal RNA is filed under the name uncultured bacterium. RNAcentral's name for it is "partial 16S ribosomal RNA". It matches the Rfam family "Bacterial small subunit ribosomal RNA", at positions 524 to 776 of the family's 1533-position model. The record is from RNAcentral.
UACAGAGGUGGCAAACGUUGUUCGGAUUCACUGGGUGUAAAGGACAGGUAGGCGUUCUAUUAAGUCGGUUGUGAAAUCCCAUGGCUCACCCAUGGAACUGCGACCGAUACUGGUAGAAUUGAGUACGUGAGAGGUAAGCGGAAUUCCACAAGUAACGGUGAAAUGUGUAGAUAUGUGGAGGAACACCAUUAGCGAAGGCGGCUUACUGGUACGAAACUGACGCUGAACUGUGAAAGCUAGGGGAGCAAACAGG